GUUAAUCCAAAAGUUUGUGUUCUUCGCCGUGUUUAUUUAGUUAAAUGAAAUUGUUGCCAACAGAGAUUGGAGUUAAACUUAUCCCAUAUCUGGUUUGAUCGUCACGAAACGGAAUGGAAGGUGUCGGAAAGAUUGAAAAGACAACGAUCGAAAAAUUCGAGAUAAGUGAUUGCAUUUAAAAUGUACAGAUCGAAAGACCUCGCAGGAAGUUCAUUGUACUUAGAAUUGGGCUGUAAGCCAAAUGGAGGCAAAAAGCUUCAGGGAUGGAGCAUCGAGCUGAGAAGUCGAAUAACGUGUCAAUGGCUUAUAUGAUCCGGUGCGUACUACUUUAUAUCCUUAUUCACAAAAAAAACUAACUAAAUUUAUAAAUUAUGAUACAAAUAUGACUUUCUAUCUGAUCGUCUUGCUCAUUUAAUCGACUUGGUUGCUAAAACCUAUUGGAUUGGCUCGUUAUUUCUUAAUUGGAUCCAGUGUCUUAUGUAAAUUUUUUAUUUAUAAUGGCUUCACCAAUUUUCUAAGGAAGAUGGACGAUAGUGCAAGUUUUUAAUAUUUUAUGGGAUUGAUUUGCUAUUUUAGGGAUCAACCGGUGCAAAGAAGAGAUCGCAUCAAUGGAUAAGAAAAAAGUGGGGAAUUUCUUAAAACAAGUUUCAAAUAAUUUGACGAACAAUCGAGGAGAUCCUGAUCAUUCUGCACAGAUUAAAGACAAAUUGCGUGUUGGUGGCGACAAUGUUGAUCCUAAGCCAUUGUUUAACGUUUGAGUUUAGAUUCUUGAAACAAGCUAAUAAGUACAAUAGUACAACUCCUUUUAAUAGACAUGUUUCAAGUAAGUGAGAACGGUUUGAGAUUAAAUUAGGUGGUAAAUACAUUUCUUGUUACCUAGCUAGUUAUUUUGGUUUCGUUGAGAUCACAUCAAUGCAUAAAAAAAGAAAGUGAAAGAUUUCUUAAAACAAGCGCAAGGUAAUUUGAUGAACAAUCGAGGGGAUCCUGACUUUUAUGAAAUCUCUAUUUGAUCGAAAAAGAUUAAAACAAAUCACGUAGUCACCAUACUGAUACUAAGCCAUUCUUUAACUUUUGGGUUUAGAUUCUUGAAACAAGUUAAACCGGUCGAGAGCUACUACAUGGUUGAACCAGUUGAGCAGUCCGAAUAUUGUUUUUGUACUCUUCUUC
RNAcentral lists this long non-coding RNA (1167 nucleotides) under Linum usitatissimum (flax). RNAcentral's name for it is "long non-coding RNA (LUSI_LNC008028)". Lineage: Eukaryota; Viridiplantae; Streptophyta; Magnoliopsida; Malpighiales; Linaceae. The record is from RNAcentral.